AAUUAAGUAUUAUUAUGAUAUGUUGAUUUAAAGUUAAGUUUUUUAAAAAAUUAAUAGAUUUUGUUUUUUAGUAUAAUAAAGAAUUUUAUUUAGAGAUUAUAGUUAAUGAGUACAGUAAUGGAAUUAUUUGGUAUUUUGUUAAAGUAGUGUUGGGGUUUCGUACCUUUUGUAUCAGGGGUAUACUAUAUAAUUAUGUUAUUUAUAAGAUCCCGAAACAAGGAGAGUUAAAUUUUAUUGCUUCUCUACGUUGUAAAGUAGUCUGUAAAAGUUUUUAGUGGUGAUAUGUUAGUCGGUCUUUGUAUAUCUGGUUUUUUACGAAAUGAAUUUAAUUUUGUACUAAAUCUAAUUGUGGUUUAGUGAGAAUGGUAGGAGGAAUAAGCUUCUUAUCUGAUGUUUUUGUUAAGGACUUUAUUGUAAGUCGUUAUAGGUGGGCUUAAAGUCAGCCAUCUUAGUAUAACGUUAAAGUAAUAACGAUUUGUAUUUAUAUUUUUAAAGUGUCUUGCUAUUUUUAGUAAAAAAUUUCAUUUAUUAUUUAGUUGGAAGAUAUAGUGUUUAUAUAAGUAUAGUUAAAGUUUUUUUAAAAUUUUGAGUGAAGAAAUUUUUUAAGUGUUAAGAGUCGUUUAAAAGGAACUCGGCAAAUUUUAUCUCCGCCUGUUUAUCAAAAACAUGUCUGUGUGUGUGAGUUAUAAAGUCUAGCCUGCCCACUGAUUAACUUAAAGGGCCGCGGUAUUUUGACCGUGCGAAGGUAGCAUAGUCAGUAGUCUUUUAAUUGAAGGCUUGAAUGAAAGGUUGGACGAGGGAUAGGCUGUCUCUUUUAUGAGAUUUGAAUUUAACUUUUGAGUGAAAAGGCUCAAAUUAUUUAGUGGGACGAUAAGACCCUAUAAAACUUUAUAUAAAAGUAACUUGGUUUAUGAUUUAGGUGAAAAGUAGCUUUGUUGGGUUUAUAUUUCGUUGGGGAGAUGUAGAUAUAAUAUAUAACUGUCUGUUUAAUUUAAUAGCUGUAGUUAGUGUGUGAUCCUUCUUUGUGGAUUAAAAGUAUAAGUUACUUUAGGGAUAACAGCGUGAUUUUCUUUGAGAGUUCCUAUCGACAAGAGUAGUUGCGACCUCGAUGUUGAAUUAAAGUUUCAGUUAGGUGUAGCCGUCUAGCUGGUAGGUCUGUUCGACCUUUAAAGCUUUACAUGAUUUGAGUUCAAACCGGUGUGAGCCAGGUUGGUUUCUAUCUUUUACGGGUUUAAAAAUGGCUUUAGUACGAAAGGAUUGGGCUUUUGGGAUAAUCUUAGUUUAAGGAUAAACUUUAAUGA
RNAcentral lists this ribosomal RNA (1301 nucleotides) under Macrobrachium tratense. RNAcentral's name for it is "16S ribosomal RNA". The stretch from base 569 to 1301 matches the Rfam family "Archaeal large subunit ribosomal RNA", at positions 1423 to 2812 of the family's 2987-position model. Lineage: Eukaryota; Metazoa; Arthropoda; Malacostraca; Decapoda; Palaemonidae. The record is from RNAcentral.